Molecule: long non-coding RNA, 841 nt
Organism: Mastomys coucha (southern multimammate mouse)
Lineage: Eukaryota; Metazoa; Chordata; Mammalia; Rodentia; Muridae
Exons: 4
Source: RefSeq, a predicted model, not a curated record
UCAGAGGGACCAAGAGGAGAUGAGGCGAUCAAUCUUAGCCCCCUGACAGCUCCCUCCGAUUGCAUCAAAGAAUUUGGCUCUUUGGGAAAGCAGAGGGAACAGCCUAAAUUCCACAUCCCUUAAAAAGGCCUGAGGGAGGGGGUAGCCAAAGAGAAAGGUGAUUCUGGGAGAUCUAGGAAACAGAUGGGAAAUGGGGACAGAGGGAAAGCGCUAACUUGGGUGGAAAGUUUGCCCCGGAGAACUCCCACGGCUCUGGCCUCCCCUCCCCUCCCCCCCUCUUCGCUCUCUGUCGCCUAGCCUAGAGGAGAAGGCUGGUUAGCAGAGAAAUGGCAACUCAGCGGAGAGCUGGAACUAGAAACUUUCUGUCAAUGUAACGUCCGCGUGGGUGGUGACCCAAUGAUGGUGGGGCUUCGGGUCACGUGACAGCCUCAUUGUAGCUCCGGAAGAGAACCUGAAGUUUAGAUUGCCUGGAAGAAGCAGUAAUAAGCUAGAUUUGAGGAAACUGAAAAGGAGAACAAAAAAAAAAAAAUCAAGAUUUGGGGGAAAUUAGCCACAGAGAUGCAAGGAAAAAAGAAAAAAGAAAAAUCUGUGCAGCUGCUGGAAUCUCUUUUCUACCAAGAUAGGGGGAAUUAUUUAGGAUGAUAAAGACUCACAAAACAAUUUGAACAGUAUUCUUCUCUGGAUUCAAAGGGGAGGCUGUUUACUGAGGUUUCCAACAACAACAACAAAAAAAUACAUAAAAUAAAAUUAUGUUCACUAUUUUAACACAGCCUUUUUAAAGUGCACCAGAAAAAAAAAUAAAGCUGGACCGUGUGUGUGGGGGGGUGUAUUUGUUCCGAAA